This 346-nucleotide ribosomal RNA is filed under the name Basidiomycota sp. S-MA-4. RNAcentral's name for it is "SSU rRNA". It matches the Rfam family "Eukaryotic small subunit ribosomal RNA", at positions 594 to 945 of the family's 1831-position model. The record is from RNAcentral. Lineage: Eukaryota; Fungi; Basidiomycota.
AUAGCGUAUAUUAAAGUUGUUGCAGUUAAAAAGCUCGUAGUUGAACUUCAGCCCUGGCUGGGCGGUCUGCCUCACGGUAUGUACUGUCUGGCUGGGGCUUACCUCUUGGUGAGCUUGCAUGUCGUUUACUCUGCGUGUAAGGGAACCAGGACUUUUACCUUGAGAAAAUUAGAGUGUUCAAAGCAGGCAUUUGCCCGAAUACAUUAGCAUGGAAUAAUAGAAUAGGACGUGCGGUUCUAUUUUGUUGGUUUCUAGAGUCGCCGUAAUGAUUAAUAGGGACAGUCGGGGGCAUCAGUAUUCAAUUGUCAGAGGUGAAAUUCUUGGAUUUAUUGAAGACUAACUACUG